UGACCCCGUCUUGAAACACGGACCAAGGAGUCUAGCGUGUGCGCGAGUCAUUGGGUGUAAAACCUAAAGGCGUAAUGAAAGUGUCAGAGUGCGCUUGCGUACUCAGUGGGAGGAUGAGCUCCCGGCCUUUCGGCCGGCGCUCCGCACUCCCGGGGCGUUUCAUUCUCAUUGCGAGUCGAAACGCACCAGGAGCGCACACGCUGGUACCCGAAAGAUGGUGAACUAUGCCUGGCCAGGACGAAGCCAGGGGAAACCCUGGUGGAGGUCCGAAGCGAUUCUGACGUGCAAAUCGAUCGUCUGAGCUGGGUAUAGGGGCGAAAGACCAAUCGAACCAUCUAGUAGCUGGUUCCCUCCGAAGUUUCCCUCAGGAUAAGCUA
RNAcentral lists this ribosomal RNA (377 nucleotides) under Liorhyssus sp. WCW-2003. RNAcentral describes it as "eukaryotic LSU rRNA". It matches the Rfam family "Eukaryotic large subunit ribosomal RNA", at positions 644 to 984 of the family's 3401-position model. The record is from RNAcentral. Lineage: Eukaryota; Metazoa; Arthropoda; Insecta; Hemiptera; Rhopalidae.